CUCAAUUAGUAAAAUUUUGGAAUGGAAAAUAGCAUGAAAAAUAACUUAGAAAGCUUUUGUGAUGGAAACUAUAGUCACAGAAUUUUUGGGAGGUAUUUUAUUUUAAUUGGUAAGUAGACUAUAAAUGAACCGGCUCCCGCAGGAAGUCAUCAUGGCCGACAGCGUUGAGGCCUUCAAGAGGGCCCUUGCGACAUCAUCCCACUAAGCUGCAACGUUGUUUUUAUUUGCUUUUACUCUGCACUGUAAAUAAUUGAGCGCCACAGACACCACCUUGUAUAUACACCAUUGUACGGCGUUGGGACCUGUACAAGAACGGAAGAAGAGUAUUUUUAUGACCAAUAACUACAAUUAACUUAAUUAAAUAGGUAACAAAACAAAUGGGAUUAAAACAUUUAUUGCAAUGCAACUUGUAUAUAAAUAUAUGUAUUCACCUUGCAGAAAAGUUCAUUUUGAACUAAUUAAAAAUUUAUUGAAAUAUUAUAGUAACACCAAAAAGAACCACCAAAAAGAACAUCACUAACAGUAGUUGCAUAGAUAAUAUUCCAUUUUUUCCACCUGGCUAUUAACGGGUGAUAAAUUAAUCUACUGCAGUGGAUAUGUUGCUUGUCACACAACAGGAGGUUACCACACACUAAUAAGAUCGCGCCUGCUUUAUAUUUAGAAACUCCACCAAGAGGUCAGCCAAUGAAAAUAAAGUCAGUGAACUACUUCUGGGGGCUGUGCAUGUGCCACAAAAAGUAAUCCUUAACUUUUUUUUAUCAGAGUAAUCUUUAAAAUUUAUGUGUAUCUAAAUGGAAUAAAAUCUUAUUCUAGUACAGAAAUAGUUUCAACAUCCUAGAAUUAUCCUUCAUUAGCUGACUGUAAAUGACACAUUUGCCCAAGAAUAUCAAAAUUUCAAAUCUAAUCAGGAAGUUCUUUGAGAGCAGGAUGGAGUUAUUUCACUACAAAGAAGUAUAUUUAUAUAGCUCUUUGUUUACUAUGUGCAGUUUAUAUUUAACAUGGAAGUUUAAGAGUAAUGAAAAGAAUACCAAUGGUGAGUCAAUAUAAUUUAUUCAUUUUCCAACAGUAAUCUAGAUUACCUGUAACUAGUAAAUCAUGGAUUCAAACUGGAAGCAGGUAUAGCACCACAUGUGAAUGUUAGGUAUGGCACAAUUGGGAUCUGAUCAAUGUAUUGUGUUCAAAGAAGACUUAAUGAAUCCAGCAGUUCAAAAACAUGUUUUGCAGUGAGACGAAUGGUGGCAAAUGAUGGCUUUGUGGCGGUUAGUGAAAAACUGUGGCAUUUUACACUGAUGGUGGCUAACAUUUACAGAAAAUUUCUCAACCGAUAGUGACAUUCAGUUGAAAGUAAUAGCAUAUCUUACACCGACUAUACAUGAAACAUGGCAAAAAGUGGAAAAUAUUAAUAUACUUCAAUGACUUUGGACCUGAGUAGAAAAUGGUGACAUUUUAGCACCUUAUUGUGCGUAUACUUUUUCUGGCAUCCGCGCAGUCCGGUCAGGAUCCAUGCUGUUUGCUAAUGGUUUCUCUGGUUGCAAUAGCAUUUGAGAGCGAACAGCAUGGAUCCUGACCAGACCGCGCAGAUGUGCAGGCUGGUCUGGAUCCAUGCUGGUCGCAAAGCCACAAUGUUUGUUUUCUCCUAGCGCGGCUCAUAUAUAAAUUUGUUUCAUGCAUGUAAAUAAUGUUUUGUUUAUGGUAAUUUUUCAGCACAUGUAAAGAAACACUAAAAAAAACAUAAAAUUUUUUGUUAGUGUUUUGUUUAAAUUUGUAACCUAGCUCUUUUGCAUAUCAUAUGUUUUGUUGGUAUUUUGUUAGUGUUUUCUUUAGCACAUAUAAUGAAACACUAACAAAACAUAAAGUAUUCUGUUAGUGUUUUUUGUAUAAACCUGUAACAUAAUUUGCAUAUCAUGUUUUGUUGGUAUUUCGUUAGCAAUGUUUUGUUAGUGUUUUGUUACCUCAUUUGCAUGUCAUUUGCUAUACUAAUAAAACAUCAUCAAAACACAGUAUAGUAUUAGUGUUUUGUUUUAAUGUUUUGUUUCCCCUUUUUUUUCGUUUGGGUUAUUUAUCAAAAUUGAAUAUAUUAGCCACUAAGCAUAUACAACAGCGCCACCACAACUGUACAGCGCCACCACUUGAGUGAUAGCGCCACCACUUUCAAAAAAAGUCGUGUUUUAACUUUUUGCUGUGUUUUUCGUAAUUCUUUGGUGUAUGGUAAUUCGUGUAAUUCAUUUCUACACCAUUUGCAUGCGCAGAUAUGUUCUUACAGUGUGUCUAUUCACCGGAAUGGUGUUCGAAUACUGGCCGAUAUGAAAAUAUGCCACUGUCAGAUUCGGGAGAAAAGCUCCUGGCACCACAAUUUGCAUGAUAUUUUAAUGAAAUAACAGCCAACCUUUAGUUAAAGUGUUGUUACACGGAACUACAUUCUCCGAUUUUCGAAAAACGUUCUAUCAAUAAAAAUAUAAGAUAAAAUAUAAAUUUUACUCACGUUUUUACCAGUAGAAACGGGCGAUAGCUGCACCACGGAAAUGUCGUUAGCUCUUUUCCUUAUCACCACAAUUUGGUGGUGGCGCUAGCGUUUAGUAGCCGUAUGUUUAUGAACGAUAUAACAAACCCUUAGUUUUAGAUUAGUAAUAUUUCAGUAAGAGCUGACAUAAUCACCAGUCUUUCCUCAUAUUUUAAUUUCUUGAUAUUAUUUACACCAAGCUGAUCAACUGACAGAAUCCAAAGCUGACAUUACUCAUUGGAGUACUGCUAUCUGGUUGUGAAAUGUUUAUAGCGGUGAAAUAAAUCAAUCUUUUUUUUUUAAUUCUAUAACAGGACAAACUUGUUUUGAGGGAAGAGGUAUUAUUAAAAUUAUGUUGUACAUGGAGCAUCAAAUUUGUACAUAUUUUUUCAAAAUGAUCUUUUAU
Molecule: long non-coding RNA, 2906 nt
Organism: Mercenaria mercenaria
Lineage: Eukaryota; Metazoa; Mollusca; Bivalvia; Venerida; Veneridae
Exons: 3
Source: RefSeq, a predicted model, not a curated record